GGGGACCCGCACAAGCAGCGGAGCGUGUGGUUUAAUUCGUUGCUACACGAAGAACCUUACCUGGGUUUGACAUAUAGGUUGUAGGGAACUGAAAAGGGACCGACCCUUCGGGGAGCCUAUACAGGUGUUGCAUGGCUGUCGUCAGCUCGUGUCGUGAGAUGUUCGGUUAAGUCCGCUAACGAGCGCAACCCUCGUCGUAUGUUAUAUGUGUCAUACGAGACUGCCGGUAAAAGCCGGAGGAAGGUGAGGAUGAUGUCAAGUCAGCAUGACCUUUAUAUCCAGGGCUACACACACGCUACAAUGGUCUGUACAAUGGGUAGCCAAGCCGCGAGGCGGAGCCAAUCCUGAAAGCAGGCCUCAGUUCAGAUUGCAGUCUGCAACUCGACUGCAUGAAGCCGGAGUUGCUAGUAACCGCAGGUCAGCAAUACUGCGGUGAAUACGUUCCCGGGUCUU
RNAcentral lists this ribosomal RNA (453 nucleotides) under uncultured Anaerolineaceae bacterium. RNAcentral describes it as "bacterial SSU rRNA". It matches the Rfam family "Bacterial small subunit ribosomal RNA", at positions 915 to 1382 of the family's 1533-position model. The record is from RNAcentral. Lineage: Bacteria; Bacillati; Chloroflexota; Anaerolineae; Anaerolineales; Anaerolineaceae.